Molecule: long non-coding RNA, 911 nt
Filed under: Brassica napus (rape)
Lineage: Eukaryota; Viridiplantae; Streptophyta; Magnoliopsida; Brassicales; Brassicaceae
Description: long non-coding RNA (BNAP_LNC010280)
Source: RNAcentral
GAAAGUGAUAUUUUUUUUUUUGUCAACAUUGUUUCAUUAGAAAUUGAUCCAAUGGGCAUUUUACAUAUCGGUAUUGGAUUAUUACAUAAAAGCCCAGAUAAAAUAUUAUAAUCAGCCCAAAACCCGAAGAAGAAGUCUCUGGGGACACCACGUGUCCUUCACGGAGAAAACGGUAAUCUAGACCUCCGUAUAGUUUCUUCGCCAUGCAAAACUUCAUCUUCUCCACCUCCGUUCUUCUCUAAUCACCACCGUUGUAGUGUCUAAAGCCACCCCGCAAACCCAAAACCAACUUUAACCGCAAAUACUUGAGCAAAGGGACCUCGAAUCAAAUCGAAUCAAGACCCUUUACCGGACCGUUGAAAGCAACGCCGAUUCUCCUGAAUCUCCUUCAUACUCGAUUCUUUGUACCCAUCAAUCUCAUCCUUCUCUCUCUCAGAGAUGCUCUACUUGAACGCCAUGAAUGGCUACAUAAAGAAAGCAAAGAUUGACUCUCGUAAAAAAGAAAUCAGAGUAAACGAUGAAGAAGGUCUUUGAUCAAAGAUUUGACGGGAUAAAAUUAAGCCUAAGUGGAGAGCAAGUAUAAAACAAAGAUCCAGUCAUAUAGAUCGGAUGAUUAUUAAUCGACUCGAGACAUGGACAAAACAAAAUCUUGAAGAACAACCCUGUUUGAACCAACAAAUACAUCAAAAGUCGCCAUGCAAAGCGUUAAUUCGACAAGCGGAAGAGGAGAUUCGCCGAGCGAAAGAUAUUUACAACAAAAGAAACAAACACAAAAGGGUUAAAAUAACACUUUUGAUGAACUCUUCAAAGAGAGGUCAUAACAAAACGAAAAAAAAAAAUUCAAAUUAAAAAAAGAAAAGGAAAGAAGAGAGAGAGUGUCCCGUUUAUUUAUUUUAUUCUAGGAAAGUGGC